Molecule: ribosomal RNA, 410 nt
Filed under: uncultured soil bacterium
Lineage: Bacteria
Description: bacterial SSU rRNA
Rfam family: Bacterial small subunit ribosomal RNA
Source: RNAcentral
AGAUUGAACGCUGGCGGCAGGCCUAACACAUGCAAGUCGAGCGGUAGAGAGGUGCUUGCAUCUCUUGAGAGCGGCGGACGGGUGAGUAAUGCCUAGGAAUCUGCCUAGUGGUGGGGGAUAACGUUCGGAAACGGACGCUAAUACCGCAUACGUCCUACGGGAGAAAGCGGGGGACCUUCGGGCCUCGCGCCAUUAGAUGAGCCUAGGUCGGAUUAGCUAGUUGGUGAGGUAAUGGCUCACCAAGGCGACGAUCCGUAACUGGUCUGAGAGGAUGAUCAGUCACACUGGAACUGAGACACGGUCCAGACUCCGUACGGGAGGCAGCAGUGGGAAUAGUUGGACAAGUGGGACGAAAGCCUAGAUCCAGCCAUCGCCGCGUGUGUGAAGUAAGGUCGUUCGGAUUAGUAAAG